RNAcentral lists this ribosomal RNA (407 nucleotides) under uncultured bacterium. Its description in RNAcentral is "bacterial SSU rRNA". It matches the Rfam family "Bacterial small subunit ribosomal RNA", at positions 356 to 773 of the family's 1533-position model. The record is from RNAcentral.
GGGGAAUAUUGCACAAUGGGCGCAAGCCUGAUGCAGCGACGCCGCGUGCGGGAUGAUGGCCUUCGGGUUGUAAACCGCUUUUGAUCGGGAGCAAGCCUUCGGGUGAGUGUACCUUUCGAAUAAGCACCGGCUAACUACGUGCCAGCAGCCGCGGUAAUACGUAGGGUGCAAGCGUUAUCCGGAAUUAUUGGGCGUAAAGGGCUCGUAGGCGGUUCGUCGCGUCCGGUGUGAAAGUCCAUCGCUUAACGGUGGAUCUGCGCCGGGUACGGGCGGGCUGGAGUGCGGUAGGGGAGACUGGAAUUCCCGGUGUAACGGUGGAAUGUGUAGAUAUCGGGAAGAACACCAAUGGCGAAGGCAGGUCUCUGGGCCGUCACUGACGCUGAGGAGCGAAAGCGUGGGGAGCGAAC